GAUUACUGCUUUGGUGUGUAACAAACUGCCAACAGUUGCAGAGACAGAAACACCCGAGGAGGCUGCCGAAACUAUGAUUGAUGAAGGUGAUUCAGAAACAAAGGACACAAACGGGGUGUCAAUGGUAAAACCCAAAGAACAUGACAAGGAAGAUGAUAUGGGGUUCAACGGUGCGUCAGUCGAGGAUGAUGAUAAUUCAGAAUCAGACGAGGACAUCUUCAGAGGAUGAAAAGAGGCAGCCUCUAAGCAGAACAGUCGUAAUAUGUACCUGUUGUUUUU
Long non-coding RNA from Gopherus evgoodei (Goodes thornscrub tortoise), 279 nucleotides. RefSeq lists it as uncharacterized. The transcript is spliced from 4 exons. The record is from RefSeq and is a predicted model, not a curated record. Lineage: Eukaryota; Metazoa; Chordata; Testudines; Testudinidae.